RNAcentral lists this unclassified non-coding RNA (592 nucleotides) under Hevea brasiliensis (rubber tree). Lineage: Eukaryota; Viridiplantae; Streptophyta; Magnoliopsida; Malpighiales; Euphorbiaceae. The record is from RNAcentral.
ACCAAAAAAAUUAAAAAAAAAAAAAAAAAUUCUGAGGCGACGUCACAUCCUGAAGUUUAUAUAGCUAUCGCUCCAACCGAGAGAGAAACAGAAACCUCAAUUUGGGGUCGAGAUACAAGGACCAAAUGACAUAUCGUCACCAGCCCCUCCUUAGCAGCCUCGUCGUACGCCCUUCCGUCAGCGACGGCGGAGACGGUGGCGGGGGAGGUCACGCUGCUGGUAGUGACUACGAGCCUGGCGAGGUCCGUCGGGAGCCUCCCCCUUAUUCUCGUCCUGAUCGAUACUCUGGCGAUCAUGGAUAUAGAAUACAUGCAGGUUCCAGUUCUCCUGUGCGCUGUAGGGAUCACCGAUACAGUUAUGAUUUUGAUCAUUCAGGGGGUCCACCUAGAGGUCGUGAAUUUGGUGGGAGGAGAGAUCCUGGUAGAUUUCGUGACUCUUCACCCCCUUAUGCUCGAGGAAGAGUUGGUGGCAGACCACCGGAGAACUGGAACCUGCAUGUAUUCUAUAUCCAUGCCCUGGCUCUUUUAGAGGAGAGGGUGUCAGUAGGAAUAAUCCCAAUGUAUGCCCAAGAGAAGGAGAUUGGAUUUGCUUU